This 821-nucleotide small RNA is filed under the name Pan troglodytes (chimpanzee). Its description in RNAcentral is "retained intron". Lineage: Eukaryota; Metazoa; Chordata; Mammalia; Primates; Hominidae. The record is from RNAcentral.
GGAACAAAGUGACUUUCCAAAGGUCAUGCCAUUCAAAGGAGGGUGAAUCUUAGGUUGGACGCAGGCUGUCUGACUCUGGAGUCUGAGGUGUUAAUGCUGCCUCCUCCAUGGGAACAGCCCAAGUGAAAAACAGCUGAUCCACUCUUCAUUUACUUGGCAUCUGUGCUAAGCUGGUCCCUGAGCCAAGCUCUGAGCAACAGAAACAGAAGCUCUGCAUUAGGAGCUUGUGAGCAUGUCAGUGCCGGGUAAAGGAGUGCUGGAAACCGCUGGGAUGGCCGCCGAGCACUAGGCCGUUGAAGGUGGGCUCUGUGUGACUGGUUCCUCUACACUCUGGCCUGGCUGCCUGCAGGAAGAAGAUCAAGUUGAGUGGGCUGGCCCUGGACCACAAGGUGACAGGUGACCUCUUCUACACCCAUGUGACCACCAUGGGCCAGAGGCUCAGCCAGAAGGCCCCCAGCCUGGAGGACGGUUCGGAUGCCUUCAUGUCACCCCAGGAUGUUCGGGGCACCUCAGAAAACCUUCCUGAGAGGCCUGUCCCCUUACGCAAGAGCCUCUGCUCCCCCACUUUCCUGUGGAGCCUCCUCACCAUGGGCAUGACCCAGCUGCGGAUCAUCUUCUACAUGGCUGCCGUGAACAAGAUGCUGGAGUACCUUGUGACUGGUGGCCAGGAGCAUGAGACGAAUGAACAGCAACAAAAGGUGGCAGAGACAGUUGGGUUCUACUCCUCCGUCUUCGGGGCCAUGCAGCUGUUGUGCCUUCUCACCUGCCCCCUCAUUGGCUACAUCAUGGACUGGCGGAUCAAGGACUGCGUGGACGCCCCA